Molecule: ribosomal RNA, 261 nt
Filed under: Triticum aestivum (bread wheat)
Lineage: Eukaryota; Viridiplantae; Streptophyta; Magnoliopsida; Poales; Poaceae
Description: partial small subunit ribosomal RNA
Source: RNAcentral
GAAGUCAAAAUAUUUAUGUGGUAUCUUUGGAGGGGAGUUGUGCUUACCAAAGACAACAUCCCCCGUCGCAAUUGGCAAGGAAGUAAGAAGUGUGGCUUUUGUACUCACGACGAGACAAUCAAACACCACUUUUUCCAGUGCACAUUUACGCAUUCGACAUGGUCAGUCAUCCAAAUAGAGUGCAAUUUGUAUCCGUCCGCAAGUGUUGCCAAUAUUUUUGGUCACUGCUUGGACAGUAUUCUUGUACGUUUAGAACGCUAA